AUUGAACGCUGGCGGCAGGCCUAACACAUGCAAGUCGAGCGGAUGAAGGGAGCUUGCUCCUGGAUUCAGCGGCGGACGGGUGAGUAAUGCCUAGGAAUCUGCCUGGUAGUGGGGGAUAACGUCCGGAAACGGGCGCUAAUACCGCAUACGUCCUGAGGGAGAAAGUGGGGGAUCUUCGGACCUCACGCUAUCAGAUGAGCCUAGGUUGGAUUAGCUAGUUGGUGGGGUAAAGGCCUACCAAGGCGACGAUCCGUAACUGGUCUGAGAGGAUGAUCAGUCACACUGGAACUGAGACACGGUCCAGACUCCUACGGGAGGCAGCAGUAGGGAAUAUUGGGCAAUGGGCGAAAGCCUGAUGGAGCAAUGCCGCGUGUGUGAUGAAGGUCUUCGGAUCGUAAAGCACUGUAAGUUGGGAGGAAGGUAAGUGUAAGAAAACCUGGCUGUUUUGACGGUACCUACUGAGAAAGCACCGGCUAACUUCGUG
RNAcentral lists this ribosomal RNA (484 nucleotides) under uncultured bacterium. RNAcentral's name for it is "partial 16S ribosomal RNA". It matches the Rfam family "Bacterial small subunit ribosomal RNA", at positions 30 to 507 of the family's 1533-position model. The record is from RNAcentral.